Molecule: ribosomal RNA, 383 nt
Filed under: Kali macrura
Lineage: Eukaryota; Metazoa; Chordata; Actinopteri; Scombriformes; Chiasmodontidae
Description: partial 16S ribosomal RNA
Rfam family: Bacterial large subunit ribosomal RNA
Source: RNAcentral
AAUCACUUGUCUUUNNAAUGANGACCUGUAUGAAUGGCACAACGAGGGCUUAACUGUCUCCUCUCCCAAGUCAGUGAAAUUAAUCUCCCCGUGCAGAAGCGGGGAUGUUUACAUAAGACGAGAAGACCCUAUGGAGCUUUAGACACCAAGGUGAACCAUGUCAAGCCCUCCCCACCAAAGGCCCGAACCAAAUGGACAUCACCCCCUGUCUUUGGUUGGGGCGACCACGGGGAAAUAAAAAACCCCCGCGUGGAAAGGGAGUACUACUCCUACAACUGAGAGCCUCAGCUCUAGUUAAUNGAAUUUCUGACCAACAAGAUCCGGCAAAGCCGAUCAACGAACCGAGUUACCCUAGGGAUAACAGCGCAAUCCCCUUUCAGAGG